AACGAACGCUGGCGGCAUGCCUAACACAUGCAAGUCGAACGAGACCUUCGGGUCUAGUGGCGCACGGGUGCGUAACGCGUGGGAAUCUGCCCGUGGGUUCGGAAUAACAGAUGGAAACGACUGCUAAUACCGGAUGGUGACGUAAGUGCAAAGAUUUAUGGCUCAAGGAUGAGCCCGCGUAGGAUUAGCUGGUUGGGGAGGUAAAGGCGCACCAAGGCGACGAUCCUUAGCUGGUCUGAGAGGAUGAUCAGCCACACUGGGACUGAGACACGGCCCAGACUCCUACGGGAGGGAGGAGUAGGGAAUAUUGGACGAUGGGCGAAAGCCUGAUCCAGCAGUGCGGGGUAAGUGAUGAAGGCGUUAGGGUUGUAAAGCUCUUUUAGCCGAGAUGAUAAUGACGGUACCGGGAAAAUAAGCACCGGCUAACUACGUG
This 433-nucleotide ribosomal RNA is filed under the name uncultured bacterium. Its description in RNAcentral is "partial 16S ribosomal RNA". It matches the Rfam family "Bacterial small subunit ribosomal RNA", at positions 29 to 507 of the family's 1533-position model. The record is from RNAcentral.